RNAcentral lists this long non-coding RNA (231 nucleotides) under Elaeis guineensis (African oil palm). Its description in RNAcentral is "long non-coding RNA (EGUI_LNC046302)". Lineage: Eukaryota; Viridiplantae; Streptophyta; Magnoliopsida; Arecales; Arecaceae. The record is from RNAcentral.
CCUCUAUCGGCCCACCAUCGGCCUCCAUCACUUCGUAAGCCAUGCUAACUUCUCUCACGUGUAACUUCUCCAUUUGGACUCUAUUUGGAUUGAUCUUGGACUCGUUGGACUCUAUUCGUCAUCGCGAACCUUGCUAUAAGCUUAGUGUAGAUCGAAUUUUGAGAUAUCAAAUUUUAACAAUCUCCAUCUCAACUCGAUAUUUGAUCUCUUCUUAACUCUGAGAGCUUCGGA